Long non-coding RNA from Papaver somniferum (opium poppy), 2683 nucleotides. RefSeq lists it as uncharacterized. NCBI's taxonomy places the organism in Eukaryota, Viridiplantae, Streptophyta, Magnoliopsida, Ranunculales, Papaveraceae. The record is from RefSeq and is a predicted model, not a curated record. The transcript is spliced from 3 exons.
UCUCCUCGUUACUAUCGAUUUUUUUUCACUAAAAAAACCUAAAUCUUGUAGCUUUCACUCCUUCUCGUGGAAAGAAAAAUCCUAAACCUAACUUCGAUAUUUCUCCUACUCCAAUUCUACAAGAGAAUCAUUCCCACCUUGUUAUCAAUUGUUUGCUUAUAAAAUCCUAAAUGGUGUUAACUAACUUAACCCUAAAUACCAUUAAAAUCCAAUCAAAACUGAACCAAUUUUUGGAGUUUUUUCCUUCUUUCUUCUCCAACGACAACCUGGAUAAUCAGAAGAUCGUGUUACAAACCCUAGGUACUGAAAUAUCAUAGGGUAAAUGAUAUCUCCUUCUCUGUUUGCUUCUCUUGAAAAUCUAGAUUCUUCCAUUUUUUAUGUCUGGGAAUUUAAUUCCUUUGUUUAGUAUGAUUUUGUGUUUCAAUUUUGAAAUCUAAUCUGUAUUGGUUUAAUUUUAUAAUUUAUGGAUAUGGGAUUUUGUAACUACAAGAAUCGAUGAUUAUAGGGAGCAGAGGAGGUAAGGAAAAUAAGAGAGAAUAAGGUCAAUAGAAGUGGUGGCGGUGGUGUUUAUUCUUUGCCUCAUUAGAAAACGAUGAAAGAUUGGCUGUAUUGCGAACUGUUCAUGUAGGUAAAUACUCAUUCUGGUAUGAAAUUGUAUGGACGGAAUAUUGAAUGGUGGUUUUUUAUAGAACCUGAAUGUACAUUACUCGGGGCAUAGCCGUCAAAAGUGUUAUUGUGCAUGCAUUUCUGAUUUUGGUGGAUUAUAUUUAAAUUUACUGUCUACGGCAGUGUAUGCAAAUAUUUUAUCACUUCGACACACACUUGAAAUGUUUGAUUUUGGGUUUUCAUGGCUAGUAUAUGUUGACAAUAAUUAUGUUGCUUCUCUUUUGUCCUUUGAAACCUCUGAUAGACUUGGUAUGCUUGUGUUCCUGGUUAAAAGAAUAGGACAUAAUUUUGGAUGUUUCAAUAGAUAAGAAAAGAUACAUGCCACUACCUAGAUAAGAGGUGUGACUCAUCCUAGUAUAUUCAUCUUUAGUGCAUACAUAUGCUAUUCAGUUCUCCGUACUCGAGAGCUGAAAUUUAUGACAGAUGACAACCCAAAUUUUGUAUUAUAUUAUCUUUUUUUUUUUGAGCGAGUAUUAUAUGAUCUAAUGACUCUUUAAUGGAAAGUAGCUAAGAAGUAAUAUUGGUAUAUGUUUUCAUUUGUGUUAUUGUGCCAUUUACUGUAUUUAUUCAUGGGUUUUCAUAUGAUUUAUGGUGAUCUUGUUUGUUGUGUUGUUAGAUAUUGAUCAAAUAUAUACACAAUUAUUAUACUGUGUAACCAGAUUGGAUUCUACUGAGGUUAUAUAAAGAAUGUUUCUAGGUAAUGUAUUAAGCAUUUAAGUAAUGGGUACAUAGAUGAAUUUGUUUUUAUGUUUAAUGUUCAUAUGGUUCAUUGUUUUAUAUUCGUGUAAAUAAAUAACUGUGACUGGAUAAUGAUCAAUUAUUCACACAUAUUGAAUAGAUGUUGUUGUCUAAAAUGAAAAAUUAGUUGUUGGAAUUUCUGUUACACCGUUUUUCUUAAAGUUGCAAGAUGUGAAGUUGAUCUGUUGAUGAAACUGAAGUGGCACAUUGUUUGCAGGUUAAAGCAUCCUUAUUUCCGAAGUAACUUUGUGGGAACGAUAAGAAUGUUCUAGGCUUCUAAUAAUAAAGUCCUUGCUUUCAUAGAUUUCUUACUUCUUAAGCAGUCGUAGCUUUUGUAUUACCCCAAGGUCUAAAAUUUGGGUUCAUUUUAGAGCUCUUCUUAUCAAGGGGAUUAUAUCUGCCCAGUGAGAUCGAAGGACAAUCAAAUUGGAAUUUCUUUUUUCGCAGAAUAAGCUCGUCUUAUAGUUGAUCUGAAUUUGCAGAUGCUCAUAGGAGUUUGGUGGGAUAUACGGAUAUGAACGAUUUUACUAAGCAAGUCGAGACUGCAGGCAUGAAUUGUUCCAUUUUGGAAACUCAAACAUUUCAUAACUCUUUAUGAUGCUCCUGAUGCUUCCAUAUUCUCUUGUUGCAGGUUUUGGCUGAAUCAGUUGACUCAGUGAGUGAGUUUGAAAAUUGGUGGCUGAGCCAAAAUCAAUGAACUUCUGCAUUACACGGAGAAACCCGAGACUUUUGUAGUACAAGCCCCUAAAAGUAGCUGACUUGUUCAAUCAUAUUUAAGUGAUAACAGUGUUUCAGAGCUUCAAGUGGUAUUAGCUUACUCUGAAGCUACAGAAUGACUAAUGAGUGCUUCAGCAGGUUUUACUCAUCUUUAAUCUUGGUUUUCAUAUUUAUAGCUAAUCUUCAACAUGUAUCCAUCUUUCUCUUCAGUCUGCAACAAAGUCGUUCCCUACUGAUUUAUAAGACUGGAAGAUAUCAUGUAACGCUUGCUGCGAAGAGAAGUAACUUUAUACUUAUGAGGCUAUAUUUCUGGGAACACAUCAAAAAUCAUGAGUAGACCAAUCUGCAAGUAAAGAAAUGUUACGUCAUCCAUCUGAUUUGCUCAUUUUAAUUUUAUUAUUUACUGUUCAACAAUCAUUUGUUGGAAACUCAACACUAGACUUGAGUUUCUGUUGGGUUUAGAUUUUUUUUAUGUUGCUUGAAUGGAACCGGUUGCUUAUUGAGUGUAACAAAUUUUGACCUUGUAAUUCUUUUUAGUAAAUAAAUGAUGUUGUUGGAAUAA